UACGAAAGGUGCAAGCGUUGUUCGGAUUUACUGGGCGUAAAGAGAUCGUAGGUGGUUUGUUAAGUCGGAUGUGAAAUCCCGGGGCUCAACCCCGGAACUGCAUUCGAUACUGGCAGGCUAGAGUUUGGGAGGGGUAAGCGGAAUUCCGUGUGUAGCAGUGAAAUGCGUAGAUAUACGGAGGAACACCUGAGGCGAAGGCGGCUUACUGGACCAAUACUGACACUGAGGAUCGAAAGCGUGGGUAGCAAACAGG
This 253-nucleotide ribosomal RNA is filed under the name uncultured bacterium. Its description in RNAcentral is "partial 16S ribosomal RNA". It matches the Rfam family "Bacterial small subunit ribosomal RNA", at positions 524 to 776 of the family's 1533-position model. The record is from RNAcentral.